AGCGGAGGAAAAGAAACCAACAGGGAUUGCCUCAGUAACGGCGAGUGAAGCGGCAAAAGCUCAAAUUUGAAAUCUAGCACCUUCGGUGUUCGAGUUGUAAUUUGAAGAUGGUAACCUUGGGUUUGGCUCUUGUCUAUGUUCCUUGGAACAGGACGUCAUAGAGGGUGAGAAUCCCGUCUGAUGAGAUGCCCAUUCCUAUGUAAGGUGCUAUCGAAGAGUCGAGUUGUUUGGGAAUGCAGCUCUAAGUGGGUGGUAAAUUCCAUCUAAAGCUAAAUAUUGGCGAGAGACCGAUAGCGAACAAGUACAGUGAUGGAAAGAUGAAAAGAACUUUGAAAAGAGAGUGAAAAAGUACGUGAAAUUGUUGAAAGGGAAGGGCAUUAGAUCAGACUUGGUGUUUUACGAUUAUCUUCUCUUCUUGAGUUGUGCACUCGUAUUUCACUGGGCCAGCAUCGAUUCGGAUGGCAAGAUAAUGGCAGUUGAAUGUGGCUUCACUUCGGUGGAGUGUUAUAGCUUCUGCUGAUAUUGCCUGUCUGGAUCGAGGGCUGCGUCUUUGACUAGGAUGC
RNAcentral lists this ribosomal RNA (563 nucleotides) under Hansenula anomala. RNAcentral describes it as "eukaryotic LSU rRNA". It matches the Rfam family "Eukaryotic large subunit ribosomal RNA", at positions 49 to 626 of the family's 3401-position model. Lineage: Eukaryota; Fungi; Ascomycota; Saccharomycetes; Phaffomycetales; Wickerhamomycetaceae. The record is from RNAcentral.